GACGAACGCUGGCGGCGUGCUUAACACAUGCAAGUCGCACGAAGUGGCGCACGGGUGUGUAUUACGCGGGUAACCUGCCCUCCUUUUUGGGAUACGCCUUGUAAACGCGGUCUAAUACCGCAUAUAGGUGUAUGGGCUCGCGGCCUAUCAGGUUGUUGGGGGGUUGAUGGCCUACCAAGGGGGUGACGGGUAGCUGGCCUGAGAGGGAGACGGGCAACAUGAGGAGUGAGAGACGGCUCAGAUUCGUACGGGAGGCAGCAGUGGGGGAUAUUGCAAAAGGGGCGAAAGGCUGAUGCGGGGACGCCGCGUGGGGGAUGAAGGCUUUCGGGUUGUAAACCUCUUUCGCUAUCGAACGGGUAGGUGGAGAAGAAGCGCCGGCUAACUACGUGCCAGCAGCCGCGGUAAUAC
Molecule: ribosomal RNA, 408 nt
Filed under: uncultured bacterium
Lineage: Bacteria
Description: partial 16S ribosomal RNA
Rfam family: Bacterial small subunit ribosomal RNA
Source: RNAcentral